UGUCUUAGAGCCAUCAGAGUGAGCAUGAUAU
RNAcentral lists this non-coding RNA (31 nucleotides) under Rattus norvegicus (Norway rat). Lineage: Eukaryota; Metazoa; Chordata; Mammalia; Rodentia; Muridae. The record is from RNAcentral.